This is a non-coding RNA of Rattus norvegicus (Norway rat), 1186 nucleotides long. The record is from RefSeq and is a predicted model, not a curated record. NCBI's taxonomy places the organism in Eukaryota, Metazoa, Chordata, Mammalia, Rodentia, Muridae.
UGUGAGAGUCAGUUCCUGUCAGGACAAUAAUUGUUACAUCACAGAAGAAGCUAGGGCUCUCCUAGUUACAACAGAUUUUUCAUGGAGGUCCUAUUUAUGAUGUCACUGAGAACUGCCAUCUCCUACCUGCUAAACAGCUUUCCUUACAUUUACCAGAUUCGAGGGUGUCCUUUCCAGGAAUAAAGAAAAGGACUGUUUACUGCACGAUCUCUUGAUAUCACGGAACAAUUCUUCCAACACUACAAAGUGAAAUCUCAUAAAGAAAUGGGUACCCGAAGCCACAGUUUCUUACCUUCUAUUUGGUUGUGCACACUGUGACCACCAUUUCAUUUUAACCAGGUUUAACGCAAAGCUUCUUUGAAGAUGUUCCCAUUUCCACCAACUCACUUCAACCUCAAUGCCCUGGCAUUACCCUACACUGGGGAAACAAGUCUUCACUGGAUUAAAGGAUUUUAAUUCCAAUCAUGCUGGACAGUGCAUUUCUCUGCCACACAUGUGGCUGGAAUCAUUGGUUCCUCAAACUGUACUCACUAGUGGGUUGUUUAAUCCCCCUAAUUUCUGGUGGGGUCUUGUUGGUUGAUAUUGUUGUUCUUCCUGGGGUUUUGCAAAUCCCUUCAGCUCAUUAAGUAUUUUCUCUAAAACUUCCAUUGAAACCCCCAUGUUUAAUCCAAUGGUUAGCUGCAACCAUCCUCAUUUAUAUCAGUAGGGAUCUGUCAGAGCCUCUCAGGAGACAUCCAUAUCUGAUUUCUAUCAGCAAGGAUUUGUUGGCAUGAGCAAUGAAGUCUGAAUUGGGUGGCGGCAUAGUGGAUGGAUCCCCACGUGGGGCAGUCUCUGGUUGACCCUUUCUUCAGUCCCUGCUUGACUCUUUAUCAUUGUAUUUCCUUCCAUGAAUAUUUUGUUCCUUCUUCUUAGAAACAAUGUAGCAUCCACAUUUUGGUCUUCUUUUAGUUUGGGCUUCAUAUGACCUGUGGAUUCUUUCUUAUGAAUUCCACACUUUUGGGUUGAUACACACUUCCAAUUAGUUUAUAUUAUUUGUGUUAUUACCUCACACAGAAUGAUAAUUUCUAAUUCCAUCCUAAGAAUUUUAUGCAAACAUUGUUUUUGAUAGCUUAGGAUACAGGGUGUAAAUAUACCACAUUUCCUUUAUCCAUUUCUUUGUUGAGGGACAUCUGGGUUCUUUUCAGCU